GACGAACGCUGGCGGCGUGCUUAACACAUGCAAGUCGAGCGGUAAGGCCCCUUCGGGGGUACACGAGCGGCGAACGGGUGAGUAACACGUGAGCAAUCUGCCCAUCACAUCGGGAUAACUCCGGGAAACCGAAGCUAAUACCGAAUACGACCACCUCCGGCAUCGGAUGGUGGUGGAAAGUUCCGGCGGUGAUGGAUGAGCUCGCGGCCUAUCAGCUUGUUGGUGGGGUAACGGCCCACCAAGGCUUCGACGGGUAGCCGGCCUGAGAGGGUGACCGGCCACACUGGGACUGAGACACGGCCCAGACUCCUACGGGAGGCAGCAGUGGGGAAUAUUGGACAAUGGGCGAAAGCCUGAUCCAGCAACGCCGCGUGAGGGAUGACGGCCUUCGGGUCGUAAACCUCUUUCAGCAGGGACGAAGCGCAAGUGACGGUACCUGCAGAAGAAGCACCGGCCAACUACGUG
This 465-nucleotide ribosomal RNA is filed under the name uncultured bacterium. Its description in RNAcentral is "partial 16S ribosomal RNA". It matches the Rfam family "Bacterial small subunit ribosomal RNA", at positions 28 to 507 of the family's 1533-position model. The record is from RNAcentral.